UACGUAGGGUGCGAGCGUUGUCCGGAAUUAUUGGGCGUAAAGGGCUCGUAGGCGGUUUGUCGCGUCGGGAGUGAAAUCCAGGGCUAACUCUGGACUGGCUUCGAUACGGCAGACUAGAGGUAUGCAGGGGAGAACGGAAUUCCUGGUGUAGCGGUGAAAUGCGCAGAUAUCAGGAGGAACACCGGUGGCGAAGGCGGUCUCUGGGCAUUACCUGACGCUGAGGAGCGAAAGUGUGGGAGGCGAACAGG
This 248-nucleotide ribosomal RNA is filed under the name uncultured bacterium. Its description in RNAcentral is "partial 16S ribosomal RNA". It matches the Rfam family "Bacterial small subunit ribosomal RNA", at positions 524 to 776 of the family's 1533-position model. The record is from RNAcentral.